Molecule: ribosomal RNA, 537 nt
Filed under: Inocybe putilla
Lineage: Eukaryota; Fungi; Basidiomycota; Agaricomycetes; Agaricales; Inocybaceae
Description: eukaryotic LSU rRNA
Rfam family: 5.8S ribosomal RNA (bases 240-393)
Source: RNAcentral
UUAUCGAAAUAAACCUGAACAGGCUGUUGCUAGUCCUCCUAGGACAUGUGCACGUCUGUCGUCUUUAUUUUCUCCAACUGUGCACGUAUUGUAGACCUGUUGUUCGUUUUUAUCUUUGGGAUAGAUUGAGGACUGCUGUGCUUUGUUGAACAGCUUUGCCUUUUGAAUCUCCAGGUCUAUGUUUCUACAUUUUUACCAAUGUGUUUUAGAAUGUUGAGUACUGGGGAUAACAAAUAUACAACUUUCAGCAACGGAUCUCUUGGCUCUCGCAUCGAUGAAGAACGCAGCGAAAUGCGAUAAGUAAUGUGAAUUGCAGAAUUCAGUGAAUCAUCGAAUCUUUGAACGCAUCUUGCGCUCCUUGGUAUUCCGAGGAGCAUGCCUGUUUGAGUGUCAUAAAAGUUCUCAACCACAUUUGUUUUUUGGUGUGGCUUGGAUGUGGGGGUUGCAGGCUUUCAUUGUUUUUGCUCCCCUGAAAAGCAUUAGUAGUAUCUGAGCAUCUCAGGCAUGAUAAUUAUCUAUGUCUUUGGUGGGAUGUGU